Molecule: long non-coding RNA, 781 nt
Filed under: Brassica rapa (field mustard)
Lineage: Eukaryota; Viridiplantae; Streptophyta; Magnoliopsida; Brassicales; Brassicaceae
Description: long non-coding RNA (BRAP_LNC002098)
Source: RNAcentral
CCUAAUGCAUGCUUAUCGAACAAGUUUCUGAUGAGAAUUUGGACUUUAUGUAAAUGGUCUGAUGAAUUGGUUUUAGAACUUUGGGCUAACGGUUUCUUUAUUCAUUCUCUUGAUUGUCGUAUAAAACAUAUUCUAUUUCUGGUACUCUAAUGAACUCAUGCAUGCAUUCAAUAACCUGGUGACGUUUGGUGAUUUGUGCAUAAUGCUUGCUAAUACAAUGGCACCUCUAUUCUCAGGACUAAACUUAGUUUACGAAGCCCAGCCGGCAAUAGAAACGCUAGCAUGGGUCUCGAGCUUUUACUGUCAUUAUUCACUUAUAGGGUCCAGUUUCUUGAGAAAAGGAUCCAUUAGCUCUGGUGGUAGCAGUGACUACAAAGUACUUUAAAUAUAUAAUAAGAUCUGCAUUUGAAUUUUUUUUUUUUUAAUGCUGAAGAAAUUCCAUAGUGACAAGGAAUACAAAACAGAGAGUUUAGGAACCUAAACCUUGAUAAACAGAACCCAAAUUAAAGACCAUUAAGACAACAAACAAAUACAAAUCACAGCUGCUGAUCACACUGGUGACUGGCCGCUUGAUAGUCAAAAAAUUCUUGAACCAAAACUAGAGAUGUAAAACAGAUUUAUCCAUUCUGUUCCGUCCCGUACCGCAGUGGGUUAGUCGUCGAGCGGGUUACAGUGGGCCUGUUCCGCGCGGACUGUGGUCUUCAAAAUGCCGGCCCAAACCCGUACCGCAAAAUAUAUAGGCUUUCGCGGGCCGUCCCGCGGAAGCCUCCUUAUCAAACCA